RNAcentral lists this long non-coding RNA (609 nucleotides) under Anas platyrhynchos platyrhynchos (common mallard). RNAcentral describes it as "lncRNA (ENSAPLG00000022075.1)". Lineage: Eukaryota; Metazoa; Chordata; Aves; Anseriformes; Anatidae. The record is from RNAcentral.
UGCAAAUUCACGCCCAUCAGCACUUGUCAUCUCUGAUGGAAUUUACCCUUUGACAUUCAGUUUCCCCUUCCCACUUGGAGGCAGAAGUUUCAUCUUUGCAAAGCACAUAAGUUGUUUCCUUGGAAAAAGCAAGAAACAUGUUCUCUUGCAGGGAAAAGACGGCUUACUUCACCAUGGAGACCUUAGGGAGAAAUAUUCCUGUUUAUUUCAUCUGCAUUUAAAUUUAUGUAGAACAAGAUGAGAUCUGCUGACUGCAGUGCUGCAUUUAUAGACUUAGUACUUCUCUGCUGUUGACUGCUUUGCCUGACAAGGAGCAUAUAUCUCAAGAUACCAAAAUUACCAGAAAUCUUCUUCCUACUCAUAAAUGUGAUUGUUUAGUGAUAUUGUCUACUAAUGGAUCUGGGUAAAUGAAUUUUGGACCUCGUUUGCAAUUUUUAUUUUACUCAGCAGACAGUAGCAUACAAUUAUACUAUAAAUCUCUGUUAACAGGAAGAGAGAAAGUGCUGCAUGAUCAGCUAAGGGACCACAGAUUUGCCUGGAAACUUUGGGAGCUGGACCAACAGGAACUUCUCAUCUUCUGUUUCUGUCAUUAUAAGCACUGUUUUGUAA